UACGUAGGGUGCAAGCGUUAAUCGGAAUUACUGGGCGUAAAGCGUGCGCAGGCGGUUCUGUAAGACAGAGGUGAAAUCCCCGGGCUCAACCUGGGAACUGCCUUUGUGACUGCGGAGCUCGAGUACGGCAGAGGGGGAUGGAAUUCCGCGUGUAGCAGUGAAAUGCGUAGAUAUGCGGAGGAACACCGAUGGCGAAGGCAGUCCCCUGGGCCUGUACUGACGCUCAUGCACGACAGCGUGGGGAGCAAACAGG
Molecule: ribosomal RNA, 253 nt
Filed under: uncultured bacterium
Lineage: Bacteria
Description: partial 16S ribosomal RNA
Rfam family: Bacterial small subunit ribosomal RNA
Source: RNAcentral